GACAGAGGGCGCGAACGUUGUUCGGAAUUACUGGGCGUAAAGGGUUUGUAGGUGGCUUGUUAAGUCAGACGUGAAAUCCCUCAGCUUAACUGGGGAACUGCGUCUGAUACUGGCGAGCUUGAGUGCAGGAGAGGAACGCGGAAUUCCAGGUGUAGCGGUGAAAUGCGUAGAUAUCUGGAGGAACACCGGUGGCGAAGGCGGCAUCCUGGACCGACACUGACGCUGAGGCGCGAAAGCUAGGGGAGCAAACGGG
This 253-nucleotide ribosomal RNA is filed under the name uncultured bacterium. Its description in RNAcentral is "partial 16S ribosomal RNA". It matches the Rfam family "Bacterial small subunit ribosomal RNA", at positions 524 to 776 of the family's 1533-position model. The record is from RNAcentral.